UACGUAGGUGGCAAGCGUUGUCCGGAUUUACUGGGCGUAAAGAGCGCGCAGGCGGUCGAUUAAGUCGAGUGUGAAAGCCCCCGGCUCAACUGGGGAGGGUCACUUGAUACUGGUCGACUCGAAGGCAGGAGAGGGAAGUGGAAUUCCCGGUGUAGUGGUGAAAUGCGUAGAUAUCGGGAGGAACACCAGUGGCGAAGGCGACUUCCUGGCCUGUUCUUGACGCUGAGGCGCGAAAGCUAGGGGAGCAAAC
This 250-nucleotide ribosomal RNA is filed under the name uncultured bacterium. RNAcentral's name for it is "partial 16S ribosomal RNA". It matches the Rfam family "Bacterial small subunit ribosomal RNA", at positions 524 to 773 of the family's 1533-position model. The record is from RNAcentral.